CUUGCCUAACUUUGAUACAUAAUAUCCUAAUACUUGUUAAAAUAUCCUCCAUUUUGUAUCAAAACUCAAAAUUAAAUACAAAGAUUCUGAAAGUGCUCUAAUGUUAUUGAAAUAUGCGUUUUCAAUCUUAAUGAUUUAAGAUGAGCUAUAAUGUGGAAGAUACAUAUCUCAAAUUAUGAUUUUGAAAGCCUCAAUUGAAAAUCCUAUGUAAUUCAGAAUCUGAUUUUGUAUA
Molecule: long non-coding RNA, 232 nt
Filed under: Phoenix dactylifera (date palm)
Lineage: Eukaryota; Viridiplantae; Streptophyta; Magnoliopsida; Arecales; Arecaceae
Description: long non-coding RNA (PDAC_LNC020758)
Source: RNAcentral